This 2918-nucleotide ribosomal RNA is filed under the name Aeromonas veronii. Its description in RNAcentral is "bacterial LSU rRNA". It matches the Rfam family "Bacterial large subunit ribosomal RNA". The record is from RNAcentral. Lineage: Bacteria; Pseudomonadati; Pseudomonadota; Gammaproteobacteria; Aeromonadales; Aeromonadaceae.
GUUGUAUGGUUAAGUGACUAAGCGUACAUGGUGGAUGCCUUGGCAGUCAGAGGCGAUGAAGGACGUACUAACCUGCGAUAAGCUGUGAGAAGUCGGUAAGAGACGCUAUUACUCACAGAUUUCCGAAUGGGGAAACCCACCCGAGAUAACUCGGGUAUCUGUUACUGAAUACAUAGGUAACAGAGGCGAACCGGGAGAACUGAAACAUCUAAGUACCCCGAGGAAAAGAAAUCAACCGAGAUUCCCUCAGUAGCGGCGAGCGAACGGGGAUUAGCCCUUAAGCAUCUUGGAAGUUAGUGGAACGGUCCUGGAAAGGCCGGCGAUACAGGGUGAUAGCCCCGUACACGAAAACAACCUUGAUGUGAAAUCGAGUAGGGCGGGACACGUGACAUCCUGUCUGAAUAUGGGGGGACCAUCCUCCAAGGCUAAAUACUCCUGACUGACCGAUAGUGAACCAGUACCGUGAGGGAAAGGCGAAAAGAACCCCUGUGAGGGGAGUGAAAUAGAACCUGAAACCGUGUACGUACAAGCAGUGGGAGCCCUUCGGGGUGACUGCGUACCUUUUGUAUAAUGGGUCAGCGACUUACAUUUUGUAGCGAGGUUAACCGUAUAGGGGAGCCGUAGGGAAACCGAGUCUUAACUGGGCGUCUAGUUGCAAGGUGUAGACCCGAAACCGGGUGAUCUAGCCAUGGGCAGGUUGAAGGUUGAGUAACAUCAACUGGAGGACCGAACCCACUAACGUUGCAAAGUUAGGGGAUGACCUGUGGCUGGGGGUGAAAGGCCAAUCAAACUCGGAGAUAGCUGGUUCUCCCCGAAAGCUAUUUAGGUAGCGCCUCGGACGAAUACUACUGGGGGUAGAGCACUGUUUGGGCUAGGGGGUCAUCCCGACUUACCAACCCCAUGCAAACUCCGAAUACCAGUAAGUAAUAUCCGGGAGACACACGGCGGGUGCUAACGUCCGUCGUGAAGAGGGAAACAACCCAGACCGCCGGCUAAGGUCCCAAAGUUCUGGUUAAGUGGGAAACGAUGUGGGAAGGCUCAGACAGCUAGGAUGUUGGCUUAGAAGCAGCCAUCAUUUAAAGAAAGCGUAAUAGCUCACUAGUCGAGUCGGCCUGCGCGGAAGAUGUAACGGGGCUCAAACCAGGCACCGAAGCCGCGGAUUCACACUUAUGUGUGAGUGGUAGGGGAGCGUUCUGUAAGUCUGCGAAGGUGUAUCGAGAGGUAUGCUGGAGAUAUCAGAAGUGCGAAUGCUGACGUAAGUAACGAUAAAGGGGGUGAAAAGCCUCCUCGCCGGAAGACCAAGGGUUCCUGUCCAACGUUAAUCGGGGCAGGGUGAGUCGACCCCUAAGGCGAGGCCGAAAGGCGUAGUCGAUGGGAAGCAGGUUAAUAUUCCUGCACGACUUGUAAUUGCGAUGGGGGGACGGAGAAGGCUAGGUGGGCCAGGCGACGGUUGUCCUGGUGAAAGUGCGUAGGUGGUGUUUCUAGGCAAAUCCGGAGACACAACACUGAGACACGAGACGAACACACUACGGUGUGGAAGCCAUUGAUGCCCUGCUUCCAGGAAAAGCCUCUAAGCUUCAGAUUACAAGUCAUCGUACCCCAAACCGACACAGGUGGUCGGGUAGAGAAUACCAAGGCGCUUGAGAGAACUCGGGUGAAGGAACUAGGCAAAAUAGAACCGUAACUUCGGGAGAAGGUUCGCUCUUGACAGUGAAGUCCCUUGCGGAUGGAGCAGUUGGGAGUCGCAGUGACCAGAUGGCUGGGACUGUUUAUCAAAAACACAGCACUCUGCAAACACGAAAGUGGACGUAUAGGGUGUGACACCUGCCCGGUGCCGGAAGGUUAAUUGAUGGGGUUAGCGCAAGCGAAGCUCUUGAUCGAAGCCCCGGUAAACGGCGGCCGUAACUAUAACGGUCCUAAGGUAGCGAAAUUCCUUGUCGGGUAAGUUCCGACCUGCACGAAUGGUGUAACCAUGGCCAUGCUGUCUCCACCCGAGACUCAGUGAAAUCGAAUUCGCCGUGAAGAUGCGGUGUACCCGCGGCUAGACGGAAAGACCCCGUGAACCUUUACUACAGCUUGGCACUGAACAUUGAACCUACAUGUGUAGGAUAGGUGGGAGGCUUUGAAGGCGUGACGCCAGUUGCGCUGGAGCCGUCCUUGAAAUACCACCCUUGUAUGUUUGAUGUUCUAACGCAGGGCCCUGAAUCGGGCUCGCGGACAGUGCCUGGUGGGUAGUUUGACUGGGGCGGUCUCCUCCCAAAGAGUAACGGAGGAGCACGAAGGUUGGCUAAUCCUGGUCGGACAUCAGGAGGUUAGUGCAAUGGCAUAAGCCAGCUUAACUGCGAGACGGACAGGUCGAGCAGGUACGAAAGUAGGUCAUAGUGAUCCGGUGGUUCUGAAUGGAAGGGCCAUCGCUCAACGGAUAAAAGGUACUCCGGGGAUAACAGGCUGAUACCGCCCAAGAGUUCAUAUCGACGGCGGUGUUUGGCACCUCGAUGUCGGCUCAUCACAUCCUGGGGCUGAAGUCGGUCCCAAGGGUAUGGCUGUUCGCCAUUUAAAGUGGUACGCGAGCUGGGUUCAGAACGUCGUGAGACAGUUCGGUCCCUAUCUGCCGUGGGCGUUGGAUGAUUGAAGGGAGUUGCUCCUAGUACGAGAGGACCGGAGUGAACGAACCUCUGGUGUUCGGGUUGUCACGCCAGUGGCACUGCCCGGUAGCUAAGUUCGGAAUCGAUAACCGCUGAAAGCAUCUAAGCGGGAAGCGAGCCCUGAGAUGAGUCAUCCCUGACCCCUUGAGGGUCCUAAAGGGCCGUUGGAGACCACAACGUUGAUAGGUGGGGUGUGUAAGCGCGGUGACGUGUUGAGCUAACCCAUACUAAUUACCCGUGAGGCUUAACCAUACAACACCCAAGAAGUGUUCU